CCUACGGGAGGCUGCAGUGAGGAAUAUUGGUCAAUGGACGAGCGUCUGAACCAGCCAAGUAGCGUGAAGGAUGACUGCCCUAUGGGUUGUAAACUUCUUUUAUAAAGGAAUAAAACGAGGCACGUGUGCCUUUUUGCAUGUACUUUAUGAAUAAGGAUCGGCUAACUCCGUGCCAGCCGCAGCGGUAAUACGGAGGAUCCGAGCGUUAUCCGGAUUUAUUGGGUUUAAAGGGAGCGUAGAUGGGUUGUUAAGUCAGUUGUGAAAGUUUGCGGCUCAACCGUAAAAUUGCAAUUGAUACUGGCAGUCUUGAGUACAGUUGAGGGAGGCGGAAUUCGUGGUGUAGCGGUGAAAUGCUUAGAGAUCACGAAGAACCCCGAUUGCGAAGGCAGCUUACUAAACUGUGACUGACAUUGAUGCUCGAAAGUGUGGGUAUCAAACAGGAUUAGAUACCCCUGUAGUC
RNAcentral lists this ribosomal RNA (460 nucleotides) under uncultured bacterium. Its description in RNAcentral is "partial 16S ribosomal RNA". It matches the Rfam family "Bacterial small subunit ribosomal RNA", at positions 338 to 795 of the family's 1533-position model. The record is from RNAcentral.